Molecule: ribosomal RNA, 253 nt
Filed under: uncultured bacterium
Lineage: Bacteria
Description: partial 16S ribosomal RNA
Rfam family: Bacterial small subunit ribosomal RNA
Source: RNAcentral
GACAGAGGGUGCAAACGUUGUUCGGAAUUACUGGGCAUAAAGAGCACGUAGGUGGUCCGCUAAGUCACGUGUGAAAUCCCCCGGCUCAACCGGGGAAUUGCGCGUGAUACUGGCGGACUCGAGGCGGGUAGGGGUGAGCGGAACUCCAGGUGGAGCGGUGAAAUGCGUAGAUAUCUGGAGGAACACCGGAGGCGAAGGCGAAUCACUGGACCGCUUCUGACGCUGAGGCGCGAAAGCUAGGGGAGCAAACAGG